RNAcentral lists this small RNA (125 nucleotides) under Marmota monax (woodchuck). Lineage: Eukaryota; Metazoa; Chordata; Mammalia; Rodentia; Sciuridae. The record is from RNAcentral.
GCCAGGUACAGUGGUGCAUGCCUGUAAUCCCAGCGGGUCAGGAGGCUGAGGCAGGAGGAUUGUGAGUUCAAAGCCAGCCUCAGCAACAGUGUGGUGAUAAGCAACUCAGUGAGAGCCUGCCUCUA